UCUAAUCCAAACGUUGUUACCUAAUAUUUAUACAUAUUUAGAAUCUGCAAUGUGCAGAGUUAAAUCGUCACGAUGUGUUAAAAUCGCUACUGAAGUCUCUCUGGGCAUCCUUUUGCAAAUUUGUAUUGCCGAAGUGGGUGUGAAUAUUGCCUAUAUCAUCAGUCAUACUGCGGCAGUGCCAUUUAUGAUCCUUUCGAUCACAGCUGCAACUGUGUUCGUCAUCGUCAUAUUGUCCCUUGGAAUUUAUAUCUUAUGUGCGCAAAAAGCAUUUAAACUGUUCAUAUUAGCGGCCUGUUUGACGGUCUACCUCGUGUUUAAGGCAAUUAUUUGGAUAAUUUUUCAAGAGCGCGCAGCUAAAUCGAAAUUGGGUCGUUUAUCCGAUAUAUUUUUUUUCGUGUCGUGCUUAUGUUGUCUUGUCUCGAUGGUAUUAGUCUUCGUACUGAUCGUAAAGGUCGAACGAGUCUGAAAGUUGUCUGUCGCUUUUAAAGAACAUUUAGUUGGAGUUUGGCUUACAGAACAUGUGUUUCUUACAGUUACUUGUACUGCAAAUCAAUGCGGUCGUAUUAUGUUUGGUAGUUAUGAUAUGUACUACUUGUAACCUUUUCCACUGCAUACAAUUGGUAAGCGAGUUCGACGGUGCUGCGAAAGGCAUACUGGUCGUCUCUAUAAUACUGGAUAGUAUUCUUUUUGCUACAACUGGCUUGGGCAUUUAUGGAGGCAUUUUUUACAAAAAAUGGCCGCUCAAGCUUUGUAUAUUCACAUUUAUAGCCUUCUUUAUAAGUAAGAUAUUAAUUGCGGACCAAGCCGUUGUCUUUGAUACUAAAUUCUAUUCAAACUUUCUGAGUCCCUGGUAUUACUUGCAAGCAGCACUUUCGGCUUUCAGCUUGAUUUUUGUAUUUACUCUAUACCUGAAACUGGGCGAAAAGUGGGAGCUCAGGAAAAGAAAACAAAGGAACUGGUUUUCACAUUUUGAGUAUGAAGAAAAUUAAUUGUAAAAAUGUGUUUACUUCAAUUCGAAGCACUCAGAUAUACAACUUUAAUUGUAAUCAUCAUUUUUGCAAUUUUUAAUAUUCUGGACGGAAGCGUGGCCAUCGUAACCCUGUGCAAUGGCCAGCAAAAUAUUAGAACAGCUUUAAUCGUAUCGAUUGUAAUGAAUACUUUAAUUAAUAUACCACUUGUCACUGGAAUUAAUGGAACGUAUCGCAAUAAUACCUUAAAACUGAAGCGGUUCAUAGUCGCAAUGAUGAUGUAUUUUUUCGUCAAAAUAUUAUUACGCAAAUUUGUAGAUCCAUUGGAAACAUCUAAUAAUGAACUGAGUAUUCAGAUAUGGUAUGAACUGUGUAUUAUCUUUUCCGGACUUUGUUUUGUGCUCGCUAUUCCCCUCUGGGUGAAGGUAUCGGAGAAAUGCAAUUUAUCCGAAAUUCAAGUUUAGACUAAUAAAAAG
RNA transcript from Drosophila hydei, 1444 nucleotides. RefSeq lists it as uncharacterized. Lineage: Eukaryota; Metazoa; Arthropoda; Insecta; Diptera; Drosophilidae. The transcript has 11 exons. The record is from RefSeq and is a predicted model, not a curated record.